This 2065-nucleotide long non-coding RNA is filed under the name Setaria viridis. RNAcentral describes it as "long non-coding RNA (SVIR_LNC011408)". The record is from RNAcentral. Lineage: Eukaryota; Viridiplantae; Streptophyta; Magnoliopsida; Poales; Poaceae.
AUUCCAUGACCAGGGCCAAGGUGCUGGACAUCGACCUGCAGAAGCAGCUCAGGCCUUACAUGGAGUCCAUGGUGCCACUUCCGGGCAUCUAUGAUCCGGACUUCAUUGCAGCUAACCAGGGUUCUCGCGCCAACAAUGUCAUCAAGGGCACCAAGAAAGAGCAGGUUGACCAGAUCAUCAAGGACAUCAGGUAUACAUACAUGAAUGAUAAUGUGCCUCUGCAUAAUUAAAAAAGUGAAUUACACUCAGGUGAACAUAAAACAAAGGAACAAUACUACAAAAUUCGUGCAUGUGAACCAUGAUAGGCACUCUGCUUAUCACAGAACGUAUUUUUUUUAACUGAUGCAAUAAAAGUUUCUAUGGGGUGCGUGCUAAAAAAUGUGUCAAUAGUACAGUCUCAAGUAGUGUCAUUUGUAUAUGAACUAUACAGCAGUCACUGGCAAUUCCAUGAGGACUCGGAGAGUUGAAAAUACUGUCAAUAUUAGCAGUUUAUCAUAGUUAAUGAUGUUAUUUGGUAGGUAUGGUUUGAGGAUCCAGAUUAACAUGGCUGAAGCAACAUGGUUUACUAGUAUAAGUAAUCCCUUACAAAAACUAUGGCUUAUGUGGCUAAUUAAACAGGGAGUUCAAGGAGAAGAACAAGGUGGACAAGAUAGUUGUGCUCUGGACUGCAAACACUGAAAGGUACAGCAAUGUCUGUGCUGGUCUCAACGACACCGUGGAGAACCUCCUGGCAUCUGUAGACAAGAACGAGGCAGAGAUCUCACCAUCGACGUUGUAUGCCAUUGCCUGUGUCAUGGAGGGUGUACCAUUCAUCAAUGGAAGCCCCCAGAACACCUUUGUGCCUGGUGAGUAGUCUGCUGCGUGCAAAGUUUUCUAUGGCGUCUCAUUUCUGUUUCAUGGCUGAUACAAGUUACUUGUACGCAGGCCUGAUUGACCUUGCUAUCAAAAACAACUGCUUGAUUGGUGGUGAUGAUUUCAAGAGUGGACAGACCAAGAUGAAGUCUGUUUUGGUUGAUUUCCUUGUUGGUGCUGGAAUAAAGGUACAAAUUAUCAGAGAAACCAUAUUUCUCUUACAUUAAAUUGACGAAAUAUUAUCGGGAAAUGCCAUCCUAAAAAUAAAUUUUGUUUAUGCUCCUGCAGCCCACCUCAAUUGUGAGCUACAACCACUUGGGAAACAACGAUGGCAUGAACCUGUCAGCCCCUCAAACAUUCCGCUCCAAGGAGAUCUCCAAGAGCAAUGUGGUGGAUGACAUGGUCUCGAGCAACGCUAUCCUUUAUGAGCCCGGCGAGCAUCCUGAUCACGUUGUCGUGAUCAAGGUCUGUCAUCUAACCUUCCACCUUGUGCAAAGUGCCAGAGUGCAGACCCCACAACUAUCAAAUAGUAUCAAAUAAUUUAGAUUUGUUCUGAAACUUGACACUCCUUGUUGCAGUAUGUGCCCUACGUCGGGGACAGCAAGAGAGCCAUGGAUGAGUACACCUCUGAGAUCUUCAUGGGCGGCAAGAACACCAUCGUGCUGCACAACACCUGCGAGGACUCGCUCCUCGCUGCACCAAUCAUACUUGAUCUGGUGCUCCUGGCUGAGCUCAGCACCAGGAUCCAGCUGAAAGCUGAGGGAGAGGUAAGAGGUCACAGACUGAAUGACCCCGUGCCAAGUGCUCCAGCACUGCAACACCAUCUGAUCAACGUUUCCUCUGGUGCAGGAGAAGUUCCACUCCUUCCACCCAGUGGCCACCAUCCUGAGCUACCUCACCAAGGCGCCCCUGGUAAGCUCUCAGUCUCACGCGUUCUGGCAUCAUUCAAUUGCAUUUAGCUCCAAUAAUCCAGGCCCUGAUCGUCUUGCACAAACUGAACAAACAGGUUCCCCCCGGCACACCGGUGGUGAACGCUCUGGCGAAGCAGAGGGCGAUGCUGGAGAACAUCAUGAGGGCCUGCGUCGGGCUGGCCCCCGAGAACAACAUGAUCCUGGAGUACAAAUGAGCGCUGCGGGCUACUGGAAGCCUGGAAGGGAACAAGAAAGGCGAGACUAGCUGUGGGGCUGUGUGUGGCGUCUCGUGUUUCUUUUUU